GUGUAUAUGGGUAGAGAGGUCAUCUGUGUAUAUGGGUAGAGAGGUCAGAGGUCAGCUGUGUAUAUGGGUAGAGAGGUCAUCUGUGUAUAUGGGUAGAGAGGUCAUCUGUGUAUAUGGGUAGAGAGGUCAGCUGUGUAUAUGGGUAGAGAGGUCAGAGGUCAGCUGUGUAUAUGGGUAGAGAGGUCAGAGGUCAUCUGUGUAUAUGGGUAGAGAGGUCAGAGGUCAUCUGUGUAUAUGGGUAGAGAGGUCAGAGGUCAGCUGUGUAUAUGGGUAGAGAGGUCAGAGGUCAUCUGUGUAUAUGGGUAGAGAGGUCAGAGGUCAUCUGUGUAUAUGGGUAGAGAGGUCAUCUGUGUAUAUGGGUAGAGAGGUCAGCUGUGUAUAUGGGUAGAGAGGUCAUCUGUGUAUAUGGGUAGAGAGGUCAGAGGUCAUCUGUGUAUAUGGGUAGAGAGGUCAGCUGUGUAUAUGGGUAGAGAGGUCAUCUGUGUAUAUGGGUAGAGAGGUCAGAGGUCAUCUGUGUAUAUGGGUAGAGAGGUCAGCUGUGUAUAUGGGUAGAGAGGUCAGCUGUGUAUAUGGGUAGAGAGGUCAGAGGUCAUCUGUGUAUAUGGGUAGAAGCAGUGUUGCUGAGGUGAUGGGC
This is a long non-coding RNA of Clupea harengus (Atlantic herring), 634 nucleotides long. Lineage: Eukaryota; Metazoa; Chordata; Actinopteri; Clupeiformes; Clupeidae. The record is from Ensembl.